UUAAAUUGAAGAGUUUGAUCAUGGCUCAGAUUGAACGCUGGCGGCAGGCCUAACACAUGCAAGUCGAACGGUAACAGGAAGCAGCUUGCUGCUUUGCUGACGAGUGGCGGACGGGUGAGUAAUGUCUGGGAAACUGCCUGAUGGAGGGGGAUAACUACUGGAAACGGUAGCUAAUACCGCAUAACGUCGCAAGACCAAAGAGGGGGACCUUCGGGCCUCUUGCCAUCGGAUGUGCCCAGAUGGGAUUAGCUAGUAGGUGGGGUAACGGCUCACCUAGGCGACGAUCCCUAGCUGGUCUGAGAGGAUGACCAGCCACACUGGAACUGAGACACGGUCCAGACUCCUACGGGAGGCAGCAGUGGGGAAUAUUGCACAAUGGGCGCAAGCCUGAUGCAGCCAUGCCGCGUGUAUGAAGAAGGCCUUCGGGUUGUAAAGUACUUUCAGCGGGGAGGAAGGGAGUAAAGUUAAUACCUUUGCUCAUUGACGUUACCCGCAGAAGAAGCACCGGCUAACUCCGUGCCAGCAGCCGCGGUAAUACGGAGGGUGCAAGCGUUAAUCGGAAUUACUGGGCGUAAAGCGCACGCAGGCGGUUUGUUAAGUCAGAUGUGAAAUCCCCGGGCUCAACCUGGGAACUGCAUCUGAUACUGGCAAGCUUGAGUCUCGUAGAGGGGGGUAGAAUUCCAGGUGUAGCGGUGAAAUGCGUAGAGAUCUGGAGGAAUACCGGUGGCGAAGGCGGCCCCCUGGACGAAGACUGACGCUCAGGUGCGAAAGCGUGGGGAGCAAACAGGAUUAGAUACCCUGGUAGUCCACGCCGUAAACGAUGUCGACUUGGAGGUUGUGCCCUUGAGGCGUGGCUUCCGGAGCUAACGCGUUAAGUCGACCGCCUGGGGAGUACGGCCGCAAGGUUAAAACUCAAAUGAAUUGACGGGGGCCCGCACAAGCGGUGGAGCAUGUGGUUUAAUUCGAUGCAACGCGAAGAACCUUACCUGGUCUUGACAUCCACAGAACUUUCCAGAGAUGGAUUGGUGCCUUCGGGAACUGUGAGACAGGUGCUGCAUGGCUGUCGUCAGCUCGUGUUGUGAAAUGUUGGGUUAAGUCCCGCAACGAGCGCAACCCUUAUCCUUUGUUGCCAGCGGUCCGGCCGGGAACUCAAAGGAGACUGCCAGUGAUAAACUGGAGGAAGGUGGGGAUGACGUCAAGUCAUCAUGGCCCUUACGACCAGGGCUACACACGUGCUACAAUGGCGCAUACAAAGAGAAGCGACCUCGCGAGAGCAAGCGGACCUCAUAAAGUGCGUCGUAGUCCGGAUUGGAGUCUGCAACUCGACUCCAUGAAGUCGGAAUCGCUAGUAAUCGUGGAUCAGAAUGCCACGGUGAAUACGUUCCCGGGCCUUGUACACACCGCCCGUCACACCAUGGGAGUGGGUUGCAAAAGAAGUAGGUAGCUUAACCUUCGGGAGGGCGCUUACCACUUUGUGAUUCAUGACUGGGGUGAAGUCGUAACAAGGUAACCGUAGGGGAACCUGCGGUUGGAUCACCUCCUUACCUUAAAGAAGC
This 1556-nucleotide ribosomal RNA is filed under the name Escherichia coli. Its description in RNAcentral is "bacterial SSU rRNA". It matches the Rfam family "Bacterial small subunit ribosomal RNA". Lineage: Bacteria; Pseudomonadati; Pseudomonadota; Gammaproteobacteria; Enterobacterales; Enterobacteriaceae. RNAcentral also lists the same sequence under 2 other names. The record is from RNAcentral.